Molecule: ribosomal RNA, 253 nt
Filed under: uncultured bacterium
Lineage: Bacteria
Description: partial 16S ribosomal RNA
Rfam family: Bacterial small subunit ribosomal RNA
Source: RNAcentral
UACGUAGGGGGCUAGCGUUGUCCGGAAUCAUUGGGCGUAAAGAGCGCGUAGGCGGCCAGAUAAGUCCGGUGUGAAAGUCAAAGGCUCAACCUUUGAAUGCCGCUGGAAACUGUCUGGCUAGAGUCCGGGAGGGGCGAGUGGAAUUCCUGGUGUAGCGGUGAAAUGCGUAGAUAUCAGGAAGAACACCCGUGGCGAAGGCGGCUCUCUGGGACGGUACUGACGCUGAGACGCGAAAGCGUGGGGAGCGAACAGG